UGGGGAAUAUUGCACAAUGGGGAAAGACCCUGAUGCAGCGACGCCGCGUGAAGGAAGAAGUAUCUCGGUAUGUAAACUUCUAUCAGCAGGGAAGAUAAUGACGGUACCUGACUAAGAAGCCCCGGCUAACUACGUGCCAGCAGCCGCGGUAAUACGUAGGGGCAAGCGUUAUCCGGAUUUACUGGGUGUAAAGGGAGCGUAGACGGCGAUGCAAGCCAGAUGUGAAAGCCCGGGGCUCAACCCCGGGACUGCAUUUGGAACUGUAAUGCUGGAGUGUCGGAGAGGCAGGCGGAAUUCCUAGUGUAGCGGUGAAAUGCGUAGAUAUUAGGAGGAACACCAGUGGCGAAGGCGGCUUACUGGACGGUAACUGACGUUGAGGCUCGAAAGCGUGGGGAGCAACAGGAUUAGAUACCC
Molecule: ribosomal RNA, 414 nt
Filed under: uncultured bacterium
Lineage: Bacteria
Description: bacterial SSU rRNA
Rfam family: Bacterial small subunit ribosomal RNA
Source: RNAcentral